UCCCUCAUUUUGCAGGUGAGGCACCUGAGUCUCAGAGAGGGGAAGUGACUUGCUCAAGGUCACACAACCAGGAGGUAGAAGAAGCAGGACUCCAGCCCCAGGACUUGUGACUGUGAAGUGAAGAGUUCUUGAUACUGAAGCAUACCACCUCGAGCUCUAGGAGCCAAGCCCAGGCCCUCCUUGUUCUCUGAGUGGUCUCUCUUCGGCCUUCGAGGGGCCUACCUGCAGGUGAGGAGGCCCUCUUUGGGCAUGUUUCUGCAGCCUGUUCCCUUUCUUUCCCAUUACCUGCCCACAAUUUUGACCUUUGCCUCCAUAGUAACCUCAUUGUUCCUUUGGUGUCUCUCUCUGUAGCCCAGGGCUCUGGCCUGCCAUCUUUCUCUCUUUCCACUGGAGAAGGCACUGAAGUGUUUGGGACCAAUGAAGGUCGGCCCAACUCCAAGUCAGCCCCCAUUUGUUUGGCUCCUCCUGCUUGUUGGAGGGGAACGGGAAGGGAUCUGUGUCCUCCAGGAGGUCUGUCAGCUGGCAUCGGGACAACAUCUGGUUCCUUCCUCAGGAGGGUCUCCACACAAGACCAACAGAAAUAUCACCGUCAGAGGGAGCUGUCAGGCACACCAUGUUUGAGAUGUGAAAGCACCUGGGUGAUGAAUUGGGGCUGGGAGGUGGGGAAAUCGAAGCAAGACAAAUGGGAUGGAGUUUCAUAAGCCAAUUCUUCCCAUGUAGGUAUUAACUUAGAAGAAUCAGUACCAGCCAUACCCUGAUGCCAGCUAUUGUCGAAUAAACGUAUUGGUUCUACAGUUCCGAAAACCA
RNAcentral lists this long non-coding RNA (807 nucleotides) under Vombatus ursinus (common wombat). Its description in RNAcentral is "lncRNA (ENSVURG00010005362.1)". Lineage: Eukaryota; Metazoa; Chordata; Mammalia; Diprotodontia; Vombatidae. The record is from RNAcentral.